AACGCAAAUUGCACUCCUUUCGGGGAGUAUGCCUGUUUGAGGGUCAAUUUUAAUAACAAUCGACGUUACUUUUUUUUAAGUGACGAUUCGGAAUUGAGUUUUCUUAAUCUUUAAGGUUAAGUGGCUUAAAAUUAAUUUAUUUUUGUAUUUAAACGUACUUAAGAAUUUUUCAUUCUAUACGUUUUAAGUACUAAAUUUUUAUUAGGUAUGACCAUAUUUUUAUGGUUAUCAUGCCUAUAAUUUUUUCAAUUUUUGACCUCAAGUCAGGUAAGAAUACCCGCUGAACUUAA
RNAcentral lists this unclassified non-coding RNA (290 nucleotides) under uncultured fungus. RNAcentral's name for it is "sequence contains ITS2". Lineage: Eukaryota; Fungi. The record is from RNAcentral.